RNAcentral lists this ribosomal RNA (254 nucleotides) under uncultured bacterium. RNAcentral's name for it is "partial 16S ribosomal RNA". It matches the Rfam family "Bacterial small subunit ribosomal RNA", at positions 524 to 776 of the family's 1533-position model. The record is from RNAcentral.
UACGGGGGGAGCAAGCGUUGUUCGGAUUUACUGGGCGUAAAGGGCGCGUAGGCGGUCAGCACAAGUCAGUUGUGAAAUCUCCGGGCUUAACUCGGAAAGGUCAACUGAUACUGUGCGACUAGAGUGCAGAAGGGGCAACUGGAAUUCUCGGUGUAGCGGUGAAAUGCGUAGAUAUCGAGAGGAACACCUGCGGCGAAGGCGGGUUGCUGGGCUGACACUGACGCUGAGGCGCGAAAGCUAGGGGAGCGAACGGG